CGGGGGGGGCAAGCGUUGUUCGGAAUUACUGGGCGUAAAGGGCUCGUAGGUGGCCAACCCAGUCAGACGUGAAAUCCCUCGGCUCAACCGGGGAACUGCGUCUGAUACUAGUUGGCUGGAAUCCGGGAGAGGGAUGCGGGAAUUCCAGGUGUAGCGGUGAAAUGCGUAGAUAUCUGGAGGAACACCGGUGGCGAAGGCGGCAUCCUGGACCGGCAUUGACGCUGAGGAGCGAAAGCCAGGGGAGCAAACGGGAUUAGAUACCCCGGUAGUCCUGGCCCUAAACGAUGAAUGCUUGGUGUGACGGGUAUCGAUCCCUGUCGUGCCGAAGCUAACGCAUUAAGCAUUCCGCCUGGGGAGUACGGUCGCAAGGCUAG
Molecule: ribosomal RNA, 374 nt
Filed under: uncultured organism
Description: bacterial SSU rRNA
Rfam family: Bacterial small subunit ribosomal RNA
Source: RNAcentral